UACGUAGGGUGCGAGCGUUAAUCGGAAUUACUGGGCGUAAAGCGUGCGCAGGCGGUUUUGUAAGUCUGACGUGAAAUCCCCGGGCUCAACCUGGGAAUUGCGAUGGAGACUGCAAGGCUGGAGUCUGGCAGAGGGGGGUAGAAUUCCACGUGUAGCAGUGAAAUGCGUAGAGAUGUGGAGGAACACCGAUGGCGAAGGCAGCCCCCUGGGUCAAGACUGACGCUCAUGCACGAAAGCGUGGGGAGCAAACAGG
This 253-nucleotide ribosomal RNA is filed under the name uncultured bacterium. RNAcentral describes it as "partial 16S ribosomal RNA". It matches the Rfam family "Bacterial small subunit ribosomal RNA", at positions 524 to 776 of the family's 1533-position model. The record is from RNAcentral.